ACAGUUUGUUAAAAUUUCAAACAUGAAUUCAUCCAUUCAAUAUCUAUAUAUAACUUAAAUAGUUCAAGUGCACCACUUUAAUCCGUCCUGAAACAUCUGGUCAUCAGAAAUGUGAAAAGGCAAUGAUUGCAAUGUUUUCCUAUGUUUGAACACUUGAUUGUUAUGUAUACAUACAUACAUGGAUACAUACAUACAUACAUACAUA
RNAcentral lists this unclassified non-coding RNA (205 nucleotides) under Hevea brasiliensis (rubber tree). Lineage: Eukaryota; Viridiplantae; Streptophyta; Magnoliopsida; Malpighiales; Euphorbiaceae. The record is from RNAcentral.